UUUGCUCUCUCUCUCUCUCUCUCUCUCUCUCUCUCUCUCUGUUCCGCCCCCAUUCCUGUCUCUCCCUCUCUCCCGAUUCUCCUCUUUCCCUCUCUUUCUCUUUUUUCAUCUCCGCUCCUGAUUCUCCUCUUUCACUCUCUCUCUCUCUCCCAAUCUCCAUUUCCCUUUCCUCUCUCCUCUCUCCUCUCCCUCACCUACUCCAUCUCUCUCAUUCACCUCCCUCUCUCUCUCUAUCCAACGCAUCUCCACCAUCUCUUCUAUCUCCCUUACAUCAUCUUUUUACUCGGAUCUCCAUUGCAGCAGCUGCCCGAAGGAACCAUGCACCAUUCGAAAGCCCAUUUUCAAAUUUUUGUGGCAUUUCUUAAAAUUGAAGGAAUUUAAAGCUCCUCUCUGCAGUGAAAAUGAGAAAUUUGGAUUCGUGAAUCUCAUGUCUCAUUAUCUAAGCAGAGAAGCACAACAUAUUGAAUGAAGUAAGACCCAGCUACUCUAACAUAUGAAAUCAUCAUUCCUUAUGAUAGCUUGGCAUUGACUCAUGAAGGUGAUCUCCUAGUUUCAUGUUUCUUGUAUUUAAUUGAAAUGUACACUAGCGGAAACAAAAUCUAGUGAGUGAAAAUGCAAUUUUUAGUUAUCAAUAGAAAAAGGAAAAUCUUUUAGUUCUAUAUUGCAUUAUUCUUCUGAUAUUGAUAACUUGGUAGAAGUAUUUUGGGAAAUGCUAUGACAUGUUGAGAAUGCUAGUCCCCAGCUCCUUCGGCAGCUCUCUCUGUUGUUGUUGCUCUCCUGCCUUCACUGUAGUAAGUUUUCCCUGCAUUCAAAGCAAUGACCUUGUUAUAGUUACAGCAUGAAGCUUUGAGCCCAGUGCAUGAAUGAUAAGGAUGCUGGAAAGGCCUAGAUUGGCUGAAGUUUUUGUUUUAUUGGUUGGGUUCUACUUGGGUGUCGGUGGGUAUCUGUGAUCGCCUAUGUUUCUUAUUUCUAAUCGGUUGUUUCGUAGGUCUUAGCUUUCUCUUCAAGUGUCCUAGUUGGCUCGCUUAAGGAUCAUAUGAUGUUUUUAGGGAUUCUGUGGUGGAUGUGUUCUUUCUCAGGGUCUUGGGGUGUUUAAAUAUUUUCACAGCUUGUAGAUUUUUGUGGUUGGUUCAGCAUGGUUGUAUGGCUGGGGAGGCAAGUAGCCAUGCAUGCAAUUAAUAUAUAUGAAAAGACAACUAUGGCUAUACUUCAAUCUUGAAAUCUGAUUCACUAGUCUUAGAAUGUAUUUACAUAAUUUCCAGAACAAUGCCUUUUGGAAAUCUAAACAUCCAGGUCAGUGAGUUUUCCUCAGAUCUGAGAUCUUUUUCCUGCAAUAUCUGUAUUUUCUGCCCUUCUACUUUGAUUUUCCUUGAUUUCUUGUCAGAUCUAAGGUUCUUAUGUGAUAUAUGGUGUAGAUAUCUUGAUAAAUGAAUGAUAUCUUUUUAUAGAUCGUUGAUAAAAUGCUCUUUACCCUAUCCAUUGUCUUCCUACAGGGAUGUUAACACUGUUAAUGAUGUUAUGGAAUUUGUACUUCAAAACUUCAUAGAGAUGAAUAAACUUCGGGUCCGAAUGCAUCAUCAGGUUAGUUGAAAUUUUAGAGAACUAUCGCUAUUGUGUUUGGGCACAAAAAGUAAGUGCAUGCCAUAAAUGAAAAAUUGGAGCAUGGGGGUUUGUGAAGGGAAGAUGCAGUGCAGGUUGAAUUUCAUGCUAUUCUACAUGUUUGACAAAAUUCCUCAACCAGACUCUGUUUCUCACCAUUGAAUCGUACCAGCUCCAAGUUGAUUUCCCCAAGCAUUACCUCAUGGAAGCACCUCAAGGCCCAGAAGAAGCUGUCGGCGAUCGGAUCGUGGGAGAACACAAAGAAGGCUUCUGUGGAAGCUCAGCUAAAAAAGAUAAGAGGUAAGAAAGUUAUGCUUUUUCA
Magnolia sinica is the source of this 1921-nucleotide long non-coding RNA. RefSeq lists it as uncharacterized. The record is from RefSeq and is a predicted model, not a curated record. The transcript has 5 exons. Lineage: Eukaryota; Viridiplantae; Streptophyta; Magnoliopsida; Magnoliales; Magnoliaceae.